AAUAGUUUAUUUGUUGAUUUAGGAAAAGUAAUUUUUUGUUUAAGUAAUUUUGUUGGAAUAAUUAAUUUUAUAAUAGAGAAUUUUUACAGUAAUGGAUUUUUUUUUAAUUUAUAAAAAGAAUAUUUUGUUUAUAGUACCUUGUGUAUCAGGGUUGAUUAAAUAUAAGGUUUAAAUAAGUUUUUCCCGAAUUCUGAGGAGUUAAAGUAUUAUGUAUUUUAUUGUGGAAUAACUAUUUAUAAUAAUAUUUUAGGAGUGAAAUUUUAGUCGUUUUGGAAUAUAUCUGGUUUUUUAAGAAAUGAAUUUAAUUUACUAAAAUUGUAAAAUAUGAUUUAUUGAUAGGUAAGUUUUAAGAUUUUAGGAAUAUUUAUGGGGAUAAGCUUGUAGAUUUAAUUUUAUAAAAAUUGAUAUAGAAUAUUAAAUAGGAUUAGUAGUGUUCAUUUUUAGGAGUUUUUAAUAAGACAGUAUUUUUAAAAGUGAUUUUUUUUUUUAAGUUUUUUAUUGAAAUAAUUGGUUUAAUGGAAUUUUUGAUGAAAUAAUGAUUAAAUUAGUAUAUUUUGUGUAAAUUUGAUUAUAAGUAUAAGGUAGGGCGAAGGAACUCGGCAAUUUUAUUUUCUGCCUGUUUAUUAAAAACAUGGUCUUUUGAGAUAAUUUAAGAUUUGACCUGCCCUAUGAUUAUUUAAAUGGCCGCGGUAUAUUGACCGUGCAAAGGUAGCAUAAUCAUUAGUUUUUUAAUUGAAAGCUGGAAUGAAUGGUUUGACAAGAAAAUAUCUGUCUCCACUUUAUUUUUAGAAUUUUAUUUUUGAGUGAGAACGCUUAAAUGGAGUUAAGGGACGAGAAGACCCUUUAGAAUUUUAUGUGAUUAUAAGUUAAGAUUUAAGGUAAGAUUGGUUUAAGCUUAUGUAGUGCAUUUUGUUGGGGUGAUUGAAAAAUUUAAUAAACUUUUUUUUAUUAAUACACUGAUUAGUGAUUGUUUGAUCCAUGUUUUAUGAUUAUAAGAUUAAAUUACCUAAGGGAUAACAGCGUUAUUAAUUCGUAGAGUUCUAAUUGAUGAAUUAGUUUGCGACCUCGAUGUUGGAUUAAAAUUAACGGUUGGUGCAGGAGCUAGCAUGUUAAGUCUGUUCGACUUUUAAAAUUUUACAUGAUCUGAGUUUAAACCGGCGUGAGCCAGGUUGGUUUCUAUCUUUAACAAUAAAGAAUACUUUAGUACGAAAGGAUUAAGUAUUUUCUAAGUUAGAUUGUUUUGAU
This 1245-nucleotide ribosomal RNA is filed under the name Nigidius sp. NIG01. RNAcentral describes it as "16S ribosomal RNA". The stretch from base 520 to 1245 matches the Rfam family "Archaeal large subunit ribosomal RNA", at positions 1423 to 2792 of the family's 2987-position model. Lineage: Eukaryota; Metazoa; Arthropoda; Insecta; Coleoptera; Lucanidae. The record is from RNAcentral.